RNAcentral lists this ribosomal RNA (451 nucleotides) under uncultured bacterium. RNAcentral's name for it is "partial 16S ribosomal RNA". It matches the Rfam family "Bacterial small subunit ribosomal RNA", at positions 328 to 793 of the family's 1533-position model. The record is from RNAcentral.
GGACCAGACUCCUACGGGAGGCAGCAGUGGGGAAUAUUGGGCAAUGGGCGCAAGCCUGACCCAGCAACGCCGCGUGAAGGAAGAAGGCUUUCGGGUUGUAAACUUCUUUUCUCAGGGACGAAGCAAGUGACGGUACCUGAGGAAUAAGCCACGGCUAACUACGUGCCAGCAGCCGCGGUAAUACGUAGGGGGCAAGCGUUAUCCGGAUUUACUGGGUGUAAAGGGGGCGCAGACGGCGAUGCAAGCCAGGAGUGAAAGCCCGGGGCCCAACCCCGGGACUGCUCUUGGAACUGCGUGGCUGGAGUGCAGGAGGGGCAGGCGGAAUUCCUGGUGUAGCGGUGAAAUGCGUAGAUAUCGGGAGGAACACCAGUGGCGAAGGCGGCCUGCUGGACAUUAACUGACGCUGAGGCGCGAAAGCGUGGGGAGCAAACAGGAUUAGAUACCCGUGUAU